AACGAACGCUGGCGGCAUGCCUAACACAUGCAAGUCGAACGAGACCUUCGGGUCUUGUGGCGCACGGGUGCGUAACGCGUGGGAACCUGCCCUUAGGUUCGGAAUACCUCCCCGAAAGGGGUGCUAAUACCGGAUAAUGUCUUAGGACCAAAGAUUUAUCGCCUUUGGAUGGGCCCGCGUUGGAUUAGCUAGUUGGUAGGGUAAAAGCCUACCAAGGCGACGAUCCAUAGCUGGUCUGAGAGGAUGAUCAGCCACACUGGGACUGAGACACGGCCCAGACUCCUACGGGAGGCGGCAGUGGGGAAUAUUGGACAAUGGGCGAAGGCCUGAUCCAGCAAGGCCGCGUGAGUGAUGAAGGCCUUAGAGUUGUAAAGCGCUUUUACCCGGGAUGAUAAUGACAGUACCGGGAGAAUAAGCUCCGGCUAACUCCGUG
Molecule: ribosomal RNA, 433 nt
Filed under: uncultured bacterium
Lineage: Bacteria
Description: partial 16S ribosomal RNA
Rfam family: Bacterial small subunit ribosomal RNA
Source: RNAcentral